Molecule: long non-coding RNA, 1691 nt
Organism: Triticum dicoccoides
Lineage: Eukaryota; Viridiplantae; Streptophyta; Magnoliopsida; Poales; Poaceae
Exons: 6
Source: RefSeq, a predicted model, not a curated record
CUCUCCCUUGGCUCCGGCCGCCGCCCCGCACUCCAACCGUGGAUCGAGCCGACGCGGUUGCCCUGCACCAGGUCGCGUCGCCCAGAACCACCUGUCGCCACCACGUCCUCCCCGCGCUGCCCCUAUCUCUCCUUGCUCCGCCGCCAGCCGAGCACCUUGUCACCUCCAUUGCUGUUCAGCACUUCCUCCAGUUCCUCCGAUGGGGGCUGCGCUUAUCCACUCCUACUGCUGACCCAGCUCACUCCAAUCCCUCCACCACGCUACCUCCUCCCGCUGGCGAGCCUCCAUUGAUGCAGCACCCCGGCCGUUCACUAUCGCCACCCCGGGCCGUUCAACAAGACAUCAAGCACAUGUUUUCAGAAUCCAGCAGUAAAGCUGGUGCUCUGUCUUCCACUCUUCUGUUCAUCGUCUAGGCACCGUCCGACUACGAAGAUGGAGUCCUACUCCUACGCGAACGGGGCCAAAUUUGAUUGCUUGCUGUUUGACAUGGAUGAAACCCUCUACCCACUGAGCUUAGGGAUCAACAUAGCCUGCCGCAAGAACAUCCAAGUGCAAUGACAGAAAAAACAUUAGUUCAAAAUAUAUAUGCAAGAUGUUUGGGAGCUCCACGCCGUCACCCGCCGGCGCACCUCUGCCUCUCCAUGGGCAGUGGAUCCUCCACCGCAGGUCAACCUCAUGGCAGCAGGCAGUUCGACGCUCUCUGUCGUGCUAUGUUCAACGCUCCCUUGAGCUCCACUAGAACUACUUUUCGGCCGCGUCUGCACCUCUGAAAAGAAUUGAUCGAGUAAAAAAGCAACUUCGGCAUGCCAAUGGGACCUUUUUAGUAAGUGCUUUGACUCUAUUUUCAUUUCCAUGUGUGGAAUAAUGGCCAAUGGUCUAAAAAUUAAGUUCCUUCCGUUACUGAACAAGAAAAUGUUCCCAUUCAACUAUAGGCAUUUUUUUCUAUUUCUUGAUGAAAAUGUUCCAGUAUCAUGUACUGUUUGUAAACGUUCACUUACCUAGAACAAAAACAGAUGCAAAGGUGCUUUUUCCCUGUUAAUGUCUGAGCCAAAACUGAAUUAUGUGGGGUUAAAUGUACUGAUGUACAAGUCUGCACGCGAGGAACCUCUCGAGCGUAGCAACUCCUCCGUCCAAGUUGAGCGCUGGGUGCCGUCCAGGUCGAGCACUGGGUGCCGUCCAAGUUAAGUCAUCCAACAGCGGGAGAGCGAGCUUUGCUUCGGGGCAGCCCAUCCUAGACGCGCAGUUGCUCUGCUCUCCAUGAACCAUGCUUCCCCUAAUCACCCAUGAACCAUGCUUCCCCUAAUCACCUCCACCUUGUGUGAAUUCGCAGCUGAGAAUAAGCACAAGCACCUACAGUCCAGCUCAUCCACCAUGGUGACGGGCAGCCGUCCAAGUGGAACACGGACAUCAGUCCAAGCAGAGUUAGUUCGUACAAACUGACUGUUAUGUAUAAUUAGGGGAUCCAGUGUUGAAAAGUUCAAUUAAGUUGUGUGUGCAAAUUCAAAGAAUUAUUGUAGGAAAAGUUAGAAGUUUGGUUUCGUGAGGAAAAUGUAUGAUUUUCUAUCAGUAUUUGGUAUGAUUCAUUUGCCUCAGUGCAACCCAAAACUAGACAAAAACUAGACAAAAAUGUCAGAUGAUGAAAGGAAAAAUGGUUUGAACUAAAAAUAUUGAUCAGUAUGAGUUAAAACAGU